GCCGCCCAACUGUCGCGAGAUCUUGGGACAAGGAAACAAAGAAAGAGAAGGGGCGGAACUAGCCGGAAGAAUGGCCGUUGGAACCUGAGGCUGGACUAGAAGGGUGAGGCUUGAAGGUAUGACGCAUCCACACUUUUACUCCAGCGAACUUCACGGAAGGAUGAGUAGUGAGAAGAAUGUCAAAGGAGCCUGCCCAUGGAGCAGACAGCUGAUUCUUGCUGUUUCCAAGUUUUGAGCAGGACUCAGUCACCUGACUGGUAAGACUGUAAGGAGCCAUCAGAUGGGUAGAUUGACCUCUUGGAGGCAAACUCAUGAACAGAGGUUAGUAUAGAACUUAGAGAUUUUACAUGAUUGGUGAUCAUUAUAUCCUGUAAGCCUUCCAGAGAAUUUUUCCCAAGGGAGGAAUCCUGAAAUGGUCUACCAUACAGAAUUUCAAGAGGGCUUAAUUGAAGCCUGCUGUGGAGGGCUACUCUGAUUUGCAAGAGGGCAAGGGGUAGCACCUUAUCCCAAGUUAAUUGUGUUUCCUGGCAAAUCUUAGGAGUGUUCUUCUUUAGGGUGUGGUUCACCUUCUCUGUUUUCCCCAUUGACUCAGGCCUCCAAGCCCAGUGGAGUAUCUACUUGAGGGCUAGUACCUUAGAGAUUUGUUGUGUGACUUGUGAUAUGAAAACAGGUCCAUCGUCGCUCUGCAAAGUAUUAAACAGGCCAAAUCUAGGAAUAAUUUUUUUUAGCAGAAUGCUAGCUACUUGUGAUGCCUUUUCAGUUUGGGUGUGAAAUGCUUCUACCCACCCAGAAAAGGUAUCCACAAAAACUGACAAAGGCCUGCCGUUUUCAGUUACUCAUGGCAUCUGAGUAAAGUCUAUUUGCCAGUCUUCAGUAGGCCAGUCCCCUUUACGUUGGGUUCCCUUAUGAGGGGAAACUGGGACUUCCUUGGGGUUGUUUUUUGCUCAAAUCAUGCAGUUUUUGGUCACCUGCUAUACAGUCUUUUGUAAAUGAGGCCCUAUGAUGUACCUCUGAACCCAUUUUAGAGUAGUAUUCAUUUCAUAAGGGGUGCUCUCAUGUACACGUUUUAAGAUGGGGUACUAGAGGGCCUCCAGGAUCAGAAUUAUUCCUCGGAUGUCACUUUUCCAUCCUGCUGGGUGUUCAGCAUUGUACCCCUAUUCUUUUGCCAGUCCAAGUCCUUUUCUGAAUAUUUUGGGCAGUAUCCAAAUAGAUCUAUCUGUGGCAAUGGGGAGCCCAUCAUAGUGGGGGUCUCUAUUUUAGUGGCCCUUUGGGCUGUUUGAUCAGCCAGCCAGUUGCCCUUGGCAAUAGGGGUUUCCCCCUUUGAUGGCCAGGGCAAUGUAUCAUGGCCACCUGGGAGGGCUCAUUGAUAGCUUCCAACAGUUGUAGUAUUUCUGGGCUGUGUUUGAUUUCUUUUUUGUCUGUCAUUAGGAAUCCUUUCUUUCCGGAUUGCCCUCUGGGCAUGUACUACUGAAAAUGUAUGCCAGGAAUCUGUAUAGAUGUUCAUCUUUAUUCCCUGUACCAAGAAUAAAGCUCUGAUGAGGGCCAUGAGUUCAGCCUUUCGCUGAAGUCCCUGGGGGCAAGGCCAUAGCUUCCAGGGUUUCUUGCAAAGUCACAACCACAUAUCCAGAGCAUCUCAUACCUUGGUUCAUGAAGCUACUACCAUCCGUGAAGAGGUCCAGGUCAGGUUCCUCCAAUGGCUGGUCCUUUAAAUCUGGCUGGCUGGAAUAAACUGUCUCAGUGACCUGUAAGCAGUCAUGUUCUAAGGCUUGUAACAUUUCACUGGGAGGCAAGGUGGCUGGGUUCAGAACUGAGGUGACUUGUAGCCUGACAUUUGGGUUAUCCAGUAGGAUGGCUUGAUAAUUGCCCAUCCUUCCUGAUGUGAGCCAGUAUCCCCCUUUCUGUUCCAAUAAUGUGAGGACACGGCAGGUACAUCUAUUGUGGUCGGUUGGCCUGAAGUAAACUUUUCUGCCUCUUGAAGAAUGUCACAAGUGGUUGCUACUUCCCAGAGGUAAGGGGGCCAGCCCUUCACUGUUUAAUCCAAUUGUUUAAAGAAAUAGGCCACAGGCCUAGAGGUGGUUCCCAACUUUUGAGUUAUCACUCCUAGACUUACACCCUGUCUUUCAUGUAUAGAGACUGAGGGCCUUAUCUAGGGCUGGGGCUCGAAUCAGCUUAGCCUUAACGGUGUCAAAUGCCAAUUGGCACUUUUUGGUCCAAUUUAAAGAUUCUCAGAGCCUCAUAGAGGGGUUUUACUAUGAGUCCAUAAUUAGAAAUCCAAAUCCUACAGAAGCCUUCCAUUCCCCAAAACCCUUGCAGUUGUUGGCAGGUUUUGGGAGGACUUAAACAUGCUAUGGCCUUCUACUGGUCUGGUAAUAAUUCUCUUUGGACUUUGGAUAUUGUAAAUACCAAGUAUGUGACUUUCUGUUUACAGAUUUGGGCUUUCUUUUGUAAGACCUUGUAUCUGCAUUCUACCAGGUAAUUUAAAGUUUUUACUGUGUUGGCCAAACACUGUUCAUAAGUGAGACUUGCUAUCAGCAAGUCAUCCACAUACUGUAAUAGUCCCUCUUGUAAUUCCAAAUGGCUUAGGUCUUUGGCCAAGUCUUCCCCAUAUAGAGUGGGAGAAUUUUUAAAUCCCUAGGGUAGGACUGUCCAACAAUAUUGUUGAGUUGUCUGAGUAUCUGGAUCACGCCAUUCAAAAGCAAACAAUUAUUUGGUUUCCUCUGCUAACAGUAAGCAGAAAAAUGCAUCCUUUAAGUCCAGGACUGAGAACCAACCAUAUUCUCCUGGUAUAUUUGUUAAUAUAGUGUAAGGGCUGGGCACCACAGAGUGCAAGUCCUGAACCACCUCAUUUAUGGCAUGCAGAUCUUGGACAGAACGAUAUUCGUCAGAAUUAGGCUUCCCUAUUGAGAGAAUAGGGGCUAGGCUUCCUUCUCUUUUUCCUUUAGGGGUAUAUGUACUGGCUGAGCGUUCUUUGCUCUCCCUGGUUUCCCAUCUGCCCAGACAUUGGGCCUUACCUUCUUGUAGAUUUUGGGUGGCAACAGAUCCAAUUCUGGUUCCUGGAUAUCCAGCAAAGCCAUCUGUAACCUCAGGGAUUGUUCCAGAGACACUUGUUUAUUGAGUUGUCCUGGAGCAAAAGUCACUUGUGUGUUUGAUUUAUAAAGGAGAUCUCAGCCCAAAAGGAGAAUAGGGCAUUCUGGCAUGUACAGAAAACUGUGUUUUAAUGUCAAGGGCCCUAUGUGACACUCCAAUGGUUGUAGGAAAGCACAAUUUUGGAUUUUUCCAGGUACCCCUGUGACGGGUUGGAUUUGCCAUUUUUUGUGCUAAUUUGGUAUUUAAAACUGAAUGUGUAGCUCCAGUAUCAGCUAGAAAGUCAACCCAUUUGUUUCCCACUGUCAGUUGUGCUCAGAGCCCUUGUGGGGAAAUUGGGAUACAGUGUUUUGUGUCUAAGAUAGUCCCUGGGCACCUUCAGUCCUCAUCAGAGUGUUCCACUCUAUUAACCACCUGGGUGGCUUCUCUUUUCUUUUCUUUCAUACUCUCUUUAUGCUUUUUAAGGCAUUCCCUUUUCCAACGUUCUUCCUCUUUGCGAUAGUCACAUUGUUUCUUUCCUAAGGGGCACUUACUUCCCUUCAGUUGGCUGGACCUUCCCCUGGAACGAUUUGGCUUCUGUCCACUCAGAGGAGCUGCCAGAAAAGCAGCAUUUCUUUUAGCAUCUCAGUGUUUUAUCCGUCGUUCCCUGUUGUUGUACACCUUAAAAACAAUGUCUACCAACUGAGAGAGAUUCAUACCUAACACCGCACCCAGUUUCUGCAGUUUCCUUCUAAUAUCUGGGGCACUUUGUGCUGUGAAAGUCAUGUUCACCAUCCUAAGGUUCUCAGGGGCUUCUAGAGCUGCAUCUGUGUAACGCCUAUAGGCUUGGUAGAUUCUUUCUAGAACUUCCGAAGGACCUUCAUGGGGUUUUUGUUAAAUGCUUUGUAUCUUAUUUAGACUUUUCUGCUUAAAGGAACUCCCAUUUUUAAUCUGGGCAGAAUAUGCCUCUUAUAAUGUUCUAGCCUGAGUCUCUCUGCAUCAUCAUUGGGGUCCCAUGCUGGCUCAGCAAUGGGAACCGCAACAUUUGCUUCAAGGGUACCAGUGGGAUCUGCCAGAUGGAGCGUUUGCUUCUUCUCUUGCUUUAUCAAUUAUUAUCCUUCUUUCAGCACUGGUUAGGAGCAUAUUCAUCAAGAUAUGAACAUCGGUCCAGGAGGGAUGGUAAGUAGCAAAAAUGGAGGAAGAUAACUCAGUCAUUCUUUGUGGAUCCUCCCUCCCUAUAGGGUGGAUUAUUGUUCUUCCAAUUAAACAAGUCAGAAAUGCAGAAGGGGUUGUGCAUCCAUACAAAUCCUGCUGGUUGGUCCUGGCCAUUUACCCCUGCAGGAUAUUGUCACAGUGAAAAUUGCCCCACUCUGACAGAAGCCCCCUGGCAGAAUUGUGUCCCUUGUUUGGUCCGGGAAGGGGAAACCCUGUCUCCUAGUCCUGGUCCCAUGUCAGGCAUUCUUCCCAUGGUGGUUGGUGGCCCUGGAAGAGGGGGCACCACCAGGAUUGUAAACUGGGGAUUCAAAGUUCGUAAAAUCAUUACAUGAUGAUCAUCCUUUUGUCCCUUCUGUAACACAUGGGGUCUCUGUACCAUUAAAUAGUCUUUCCCUUAUUUUUUCUUAUCCUGAUGUAGUAACAUGAAAGCUUGUACAUAUGGGAUCUCAUCACCUUUCCCUGUGUUUUUGCAAAAGAGUUCAAGCUAUUGUGUAAUGGUUUAAUGUUCCAUUUGUUGGUCAUUUUUCCCCAGAAACUAAAAUAUACUGAGACCAGGCAGUGUUACAGUAAAAGAUCAUCUUUUUUCUUUGUCAUUGGUUCAAAACUAAAAUCUGCCCAUUGGGUCAGUUUGAGACCCAGGGGACUUUUCUUGGGCACAGAUGGCACAGCACCCAUACUCACACACCACACAGACAUCACAUACACACACACACAAGUUAACAUAGACUAGUCCACCAGAUAUUGCAGGUAGUCCUAGAACUGUUCCCUCUGAAAAAUGGCACCUAGGAACAGAUGGACCCAAGACAACUUGGGCCCUCAGACAGAGGGAAGAGUGUUCUCGGGAGUGCACUCUGAGGUGACUUACCCUACUCUAGAUGUGAAUUCAUGAACUCAUAGAUGCUUAUCCAUUUCUCCUUCCACCGAGAAAGGCAUUGAAAGUAGUUGGCAAUUGGAGGAACUCAGGGAAAAGUCCCUGGGAGAAAGUAAAACCCUGGCAGCUGCUGAGAGUGCCCCAAGAUUUUUCCUGAGUUGACUAGCCACAGACAGAAUCUAGUCCCUUUGUGGUUGCUAAAAAUUGUAACCAAGCAGGGGCUCGUUCUUCUUGCCACAACUGUGAAGCUAAUCAAUUGCAAAUGAGUCAGUGGUCAAGAAAGGGAUUCAUUUGAUUAGACAAGCAAAAUCAGAAGAUGGCAGACUCAUGUCCAAAGACCAUCUUAAACAAGCAUAUAAUCUUGAGGCAGUUAUAUAGGGACCAGUGGGCUAUGAAGGAGGGGCUCAGGAACGCUGGCCAUCUGACCUCGGUGACUGGAGACACCACACUAGGGCUUUCAGUUGUCAUCAAUGAUGGAUACCAGCAUAGAUGCUCUUCUCUGGGGAGGUCGCCAUGUUCCUAAGAAACUCAAAAGAACAAAGUUAUCACCUAUCACUAUUGGGAGGUACAUGUGUCAGCCAGGAUUAUUUCCCAGGGGGUAGCUAUUUAUCUCCUAGGCUACAUGCAAGGCAAAAUGUAUACAACUUGGGUGAGCUAAUCAGAGAUUACUCUAAGUUACAACAUGGCUUCUCUCAUGCCAACCUUGCUUCAGGCCAAUAUCAUAACCUUACUUUUGACUAUACAGUGGUCCCCUCCUUAUCCACAGGAGAUGAGUUCCAAGACCCCCGCUGGAUGCCUGAAACCACAGAUAGUACCUGAACCCUAUAUAUACUAUGUUUUUUUCCAAUACAU
Molecule: non-coding RNA, 6001 nt
Organism: Equus caballus (horse)
Lineage: Eukaryota; Metazoa; Chordata; Mammalia; Perissodactyla; Equidae
Source: RefSeq, a predicted model, not a curated record